AUGCCCCCUUGGGAGCGCUUCCGCGAGCUCUGCCUCCUUCGUUUUGGGCCCCCGAUCCGCGGGAGCCGCCUGGCGGAGCUAGGCCGCCUUCCCUUCACCUCCACGGUUCAGGACUUCGCCAACCAUUUCCAGGCCCUGGCAAGCCACGCGUCGGGCGUGACGGUGCAGCAGCGGGCCGACCUCUUUGUCGGUGGACUUCCGGAUCACAUUCGCGUGGACGUGGAGCUUCAGGGACCCCAAGAUCUCCAGACGGCCAUGUACUACGCCCGCGCGUUCGAGCGCCGCGCGGUGGCCGUCCAGCAGGAGUCACCGUCCCGGGCCACUGGGUCGGCCUGCUCAGGCUUCUGCGGCACCCCUCGCCGCGACCGCGGCACGCCCGUUCCACUGGCUCACCUCAGUCGAGCUACUCGAGCGUCGCCGCCAAGGGUUGUGCUUCAACUGCGACGAGCCCUACACGCCCGGCCACGCCUGCCCACGACUCUUCUACCUGGAGGUUGCAGACUACAUUCCGGAGGACGUCGUCGCUGCCGACCUUGCCGCCCCAACUGUCGCGAAGGUGUUUGA
RNAcentral lists this ribosomal RNA (564 nucleotides) under Triticum aestivum (bread wheat). RNAcentral's name for it is "partial small subunit ribosomal RNA". The record is from RNAcentral. Lineage: Eukaryota; Viridiplantae; Streptophyta; Magnoliopsida; Poales; Poaceae.